RNAcentral lists this long non-coding RNA (10440 nucleotides) under Ananas comosus (pineapple). Its description in RNAcentral is "long non-coding RNA (ACOM_LNC003729)". The record is from RNAcentral. Lineage: Eukaryota; Viridiplantae; Streptophyta; Magnoliopsida; Poales; Bromeliaceae.
ACAUGGAUUUAGCUCACAAUGAAGCUAGAAGCCAUUUCUUUUCAUGGGUGCUAAACCUAGGGCUUGAUUUGGGGAUUUUGCAAAUAUUAGGGUUUGAUCUCUUUUGAGGGGUUAGAAACCUAAUUUCUAUGCUUAUAAACGCGUAGGCGAAGACGGUUCGUCGAUCCGACGAGUGGGCGCGAAGAUAUCGCCAAAUUGAGUGCUCUAGGUUUGAGUUUGGCUCGACGAGUUCAAGCGGCGUAAGAGAACGCGUUUUCUAGCUUUCGGCGCUACCAAAGGUGGGUGGUGACCAUCCCGAAGCAAUCGGGCUACCUUUUAUGUCUAAGUUUCCAAAAUUGAUCUAAGCAUAUUGUGCAUGUUCAUAUAGGGUUAGAGAUGGUUGAUAAUUGCUAUAUUUGCAUACUAGUAGAAAUGUUGCUUGAUUGGUGGUUGAUAAUCUAGUAUGCUUGACAAAUGAUAUGAUGAAAAAUUUAAUCCUAUAUGAGACGAUUAAUGUUACCGUUGCUAAAGAACUAGUAAGAUGAAACUAGUGUUGAUAAUGAGUCUAAAUGACGAGUGGCAUCUAAUUUAGAAAACAAUGACAAGUGGCAUCUAGUGAUAGAAAACUAUGAUGAGCGGCAAUUCAUAUUUGUCAACCUAUGAUAUGAAAACCUUAGUGUAGUGAAACACUAUGUGAUUGGGUACAAGAACAUUGAUUCCAAGAUGAGAUUGCCCUUUUGAGGGUAGGUUACUGUUGUUCGUGAGUUGAUCAUGCUCACAUAGCCUGUCUGCGCUUGGUUUGGGGUCGCUCCCCACAAGCUGUGCACUCCGGAGGUUGGUCACUCGAGGGACAGUCAGUGUGCUGUCUGGGCGGUCUGUGUGCUGCCCGCAGGCGGUCUCGGGAUAGUUGAGAGAGACUACUCCCCUGUGAGACUUACACGUGAGAUAUGUUGUGAACCCCGUGUUCACAUGAGAUUUGAUCUCCUAUUGAGUCAUACUCAUUAUUUGUUGUUCAUAAUAGCUCGUUGCCUAUAGUAGUCACCUACGUAGCUUGUUGUAGAUGUUUAUAGUAAUUUACUACUCAGCUUUAUUUAUUGCUCAUACAUCAUGUUUUCAGAUUGAGGCACAUUUAGCUAUUUAGUUUCCGUACCUGCUUCGUUACUGCUUUGAUAUAUAUAUUGCAUAUAUCUAUCUGUGCCUGCUUGAGACCUAGUGGGUAGAUCGGCGGAGUCGGCGGCUGAACCCACUGGGAACUAUUCGUAGUUCUCACCCCCGUGUGGUUUUGGGGGUACAGGUACACAGGACAGCGGGCCUUCAUCGAUGGAUCGCGGUAAGGGCAUAGCGCCCUAGCUUUUGGUAGAUAGCCUACUUUACCUACUUGCAUUAGCUCUACCCUGUACCUAUGCUUUUACAUUUUGAGAGUAGAUGUUGUAUAGGGUGAGGUUUUGGAGCGCAUAUGAUGUAUUUUCAUUUUGGGAAAGAAUGCAAGUUGUAUUAAAUGAUUAAAGUUUAAAAGAUAUCGAAAGAGGUUAAAUGUUCAAUCAUGUCUUAAAUAGUUAAGUUUCUCUCUUUUGUAUAUUUGUAUGCUUCUUACUUGUAUUGCUUGCUCUUGUUGAUAAAUAGCACUGUUCGUGCUCUCGUUUACCGUUGCUUGAUUGUGUAUGAAUUCAAGUUGUAUUCCUGGGGACUUGUUGUACACAAUCUGGUUGGUUAGCCUUGGGCGGGCAGGGGAGACUCUGUCCGUUCGGCGGUCACGCACGCCGCCCUCGAAUCGGACCAAAUUGGUACCGUUUCGGGUGGUGCGGUCGUGGGGCGUGACACCAAUAAUAUAGACUCCUUAUCUAGUUAUGCUUACUAUAAUUAAAACUUAUAGUUUAGAUAUAUAAUUUUUGAGCUAUUUCUCCGGUAUCAAUCAUAUUAGUAUGAAUUUAGUCAAAAGCGACAUUGCACGGAGAUAUAGAUCAAACAUACCUUAGUUAGCAUCAAUUUAAAAUCCUCCAAUUUUUUCCGUUUCCAGUCAUCAGUACUAACACCCAAGCUAAAUCCAUGUACUUUCUCCAAACCUGCAACAUAGAAGCUGCAAAACAUAAUAAAUUCAAUACGUUUGUCCGUAACUUUUUUCUAUACAAUAUUAUAUGGAAAAAAUAUAUUAUGUCUAAUCAACAUAAGAAAUAGAUUAAAAUAAACAUAACAUGAAUAUAACUAAUAAAACUCAUACGAAGGCGACGUCGCUUGCGAGGUUGGGCAGUCUCAGUAGCUUGAAAUCCUUGCUGCUCCGAUGCACUUGCACCUUUGCCAUCUCUACUAUUAUCUGCAAUACAAAUUUGAUUAUUAUUAUUAAUCUAACACAUCAAUAUGAAUCAAUCACAAACGAAUCAACAAAAUUGUAAUCUCAAAUUGACAAGUUACUAGCAAAACCAAAACAGCCAAAGCAGAAAAAUUUCACAUGAAAGCUACUAGCUGACAGCUAUGCAUGCUGCCUCAUUCAGAAUCAUAUAAAUUCACAGCAGCAAUUGAUGCGGAAAUGAGCCAUUAAUUUGGUUCCUAGUUAAAUCUAUGUGUUAGCUUCGAUUGAGCCACGAAUAGGAGCAAUUAUAUUGUUAGAUUGGCAUCAAAUUGAGCAUUCAAAUGAUCAGCUUGUUCGGUACUGAUAAACAAUAAAGAUUAACAUAGUAAGACUAAAUCAGCAGCUAUUUCUACAGUAUUUUUACUCCAGUUAGGCCCCAAAACUAAUCAAAAACCGAUUCCAUUCGAUGAGGGAACAAUCAUAAUACUAUAACUUGAUGCGUUUUCCUUUAUCCAAUCAAUUCAUUUUCCCUGAAAAUCAGUUGGUACGUAGGAAACUACAUAGAUCUUCAACAUAAGUAGGCGAAAUUAGAAUCAUACAGAACUGCGAAAUGCCUUAGAUCUGAGAAUCUCAUAAGAAGAGAGAGAUCCACUAACCUUUGCGGCUCUGGUGAGACGAUCUCCGCUCUAACCGACGGAGAUGUUGAGGACGAGCUUCUGCACCUUGAUCUCCCUCAUCGGGUUCGAGAGCUUCUUCUCCGACGCCUACGAAAGACAUGGAGAAAACAUGGCGAUUCCAUUAGAAAACGAAGAAGAAGAAGAAGAAAAAGAAGAAGAAGAAGAGAGAGAGAGAGAGAGAGAGAGAUUCACCAUGGAUGGACGCAGCGGAUCUCUGAGCUCAGAGAGAGGCGGGAGACGUGUCACGCCCCGAGUCCGCUACCNCCAUUGGAUUCGUGACUUUGAGACGAAGCUUCAGAACCCUUGUUUGCUGAAUUUGGAUAAGGUUAGCUUGGUCGGAUUUAACGCUUUCUUCGCUGCUGUUUUCUGGGCAGAUUUCGUGAUUUUGAGUGUAAUUGGGUUUACUUCUUCGCAGCAGGAGAACCGGGGACUUCGACGGACCAGCAAGGGAUCAUUUUGGAUCCAGGCCACUUUCUUCACUGCCAGGAGUUGCUUGAGAGGUGGGUUCAUCGGUUUUUGCCUCUAAGUACAUAUUAGUCGACUUGUAUGCUUUGUUCGUUGAACACUAAAUGAGGUAGCUCAAAUUCAUGGAUUAGUCGACUUGUACUGUCGACUUGUACUGUCGACUUGUACAUAUUAGUCGACUUGUACUGUCGCAGUUUCUUCGAGACGAGUACUCCAGAUAGUUUAGAAUGUAUUUACACUCGUGCUAUUUCGUCGAGUGGAUUUUUACAAGGUCGUUCAGGUUGUUUCGGACUGUUGGGUGCCGUCANGCGAGCGUGAGGACCGUGAGGCGCUCGACAAGGACAAAGGCAAAAAGAGACAGGGCGGUGGUUCGGGCGGUCAGUCUAGCUCCAAGCGGCCCCCGAAGUAUCCACGCUCUCAGCCCAAGGGUCGUGGUGCUCAGCGAUGCGUCUUCUGCGGCGGGGACCACCGGCCGAGUGUUUGUGAGCAGCGCCGAGGGAGGUGCUUCAAGUGCGGGCAAGCGGGGCAUGUCAUCCGUGACUGUCCUCAGGGAGGAGCUUUGCCGGCUAUGUCGACUGCAUCGGCCCCGGCGGUUCCAGCUCGUUAUGCCUUGCCCCCUCCUGCAGCAUCUACUGGGCGAGCGGCGGCGCCACGCCAACCUGAGCCUGCCCGAUCAGCGCCGAGCGGGAGGAUGUAUGCUGCACCCGUGCAUGUUGAGGAGCCUUCGGAGGCCGGCGAGCGCAAUGUUGUGGCAGGUAUAAUUUUGAUUAAAGAUGUUCGAGCUAGAGCUCUAUUUGAUACAGGCGCUUCACAUUCGUUCAUUAGUUGAUCAUUUGCACGAGCGCAUGAUAUUGAGUAUCGUCUUGGGAAGCACGUUUGCCAUGUUGAGGGCCCCGGGCGAUCCUUUUUGGUUAGGAAGCGAUGUUUGGCAUAUCCAGUGCAAGUGAAUGACUGGGUUAUGCCAAUCGACUUGUUGGUGCUCAAGAAGCUGAGGGAGUUCGAUGUCAUAUUGGGCAUGGAUUGGCUCUCGAAGUACUACGUAUCGAUCGAUUGCCCGACUCGAGUUAUCACCUUUCGGGAGCCGGGACAGGAAGAGUUCACCUAUCGAGCUUGCCAAAGCUCGUGUUUCGCCGCGAUGGUAUCGGCGGCUAGAGCGAGGAAGCUGGUGAACAGCGGUUGCAUCGCUUAUUUGGCGACCGUUGUGGAGAUUGAUCGAGCGGUUCCAAUCCUCGAGGAGUUAGCGGUUGUGCGGGAGUUCCCCGACGUGUUUCCCGCGGAGUUACCGGGUAUGCCGCCGGACCGGGAGAUCGAGUUCAUGAUUGACUUGGUUCCCGGCACCGCGCCGAUUUCUAAGGCCCCGUAUCGCAUGGCGCCGGCCGAGCUAAGGGAGUUGAGAGAUCAAUUGCAGGAUCUUCUCGACAAGGGAUUCAUUAGGCCGAGCGUUUCGCCGUGGGAUGCCCCGGUACUAUUUGUGCGCAAGAAAGAUGGAUCUUUUCGACUUUGCGUGGAUUACCGCGAGUUGAACAAGGUCACGGUGAAGAACAAGUAUCCGCUACCCCGUAUUGAUGACUUGUUUGAUCAGCUGCAGGGGUCGCGAGUGUAUUCUAAAAUUGACCUUCAGUCCGGUUACCAUCAGUUAAAGAUCAAGCCGGAAGAUGUUCAAAAGACGGCGUUUCGCACGCGUUAUGGACACUACGAGUUCACGGUGAUGCCGUUUGGGCUCACAAAUGCCCCGGCAGCGUUCAUGAGCUUGAUGAACCGAGUGUUCCAGGAGUGCUUGGACCGAUUUGUCGUAGUCUUCAUAGACGACAUUUUGGUAUAUUCGCGUAGUGACGAGGAGCACGCGGAGCAUUUGCGCACGGUACUUCAGAUCCUUCGGGAGAAGAAGUUGUACGCCAAGCUAAAGAAAUGCGACUUUUGGCUUCGAGAGGUUGCGUUUCUCGGGCAUGUUAUUUCCGAGGGUGGAGUUUCUAUUGACCCAAGGAAAGUGGAGGCUAUUGAGAAUUGGCCGUGCCCGACGAAUGUUACCGAGGUCCGUAGUUUUGUGGGCCUAGCCGGUUAUUAUCGACGGUUUGUGGAGGGGUUCUCUAAGAUUGUGACUCCACUUACCCGUUUGACGCAAAAAGGCACCAAGUUUGUUUGGAGCGACGAGUGUGACCGGAGCUUUAAAGAGUUGAAGCAGAGGCUAACUUCGACUCCGGUACUCGCUUUACCGGUGCAGGGACAGGACUACGUCGUCUACAGUGAUGCUUCUUAUUUGGGCUUGGGAUGUGUGUUGAUGCAGGGCGAGAAGGUUAUCGCUUAUGCAUCCCGUCAGCUGAAAAGUUAUGAAAAGAAUUACCCCAUUCACGAUCUAGAAUUGGCGGCGGUGAUCUUUGCCUUGAAGGCUUUGGAGACAUUAUUUAUAUGGUGCUCAUUGCGAAAUCUACACCGACCACAAGAGCUUGAAGUAUCUGUUUACACAGAAAGAGCUCAAUAUGCGACAGCGGCGGUGGUUGGAAUUGCUUAAGGAUUAUGAUGUUGAUAUCCUUUACCACCCCGGGAAGGCAAACGUGGUCGCGGAUGCAUUGAGUAGGAAGACGGCGAAGAACCUCGCUUUCGAUGUUACCCAGCAAAAACCCCUAGGGUUGGAUAUGGAGCGAUUGGACCUUGAAGUAGUUACUCCCGAGGUCCCGACACAGUUGAUGGCACUCGUUGUCCAACCGACUUUGUUGGAGAGGAUCAAAGAUCUGCAACUUGCGGACCCAGAACUCCAAAAGGUGCGGCGGAACAUCGAGAAAGGUCAUGGCGGCGAGUUCAACGUAGACGCCGAUGGUACGCUUCGGUUUCGGAACCGGAGGUGUGUACCCGCUGAUGAAGAGCUUCGCAAGCUUAUACUCUAGGAGUCGCAUUGGUCCCCGUAUGCUGGUCACCCGGGCGGCACCAAGAUGUACCAAGGCCUAAAAGCACACUAUUGGUGGCCGGGAAUGAAAGCCGACAUUGGACGUUUUGUGGCAAAGUGCCUAGCAUGCCAACAAGUGAAGGCCGAGCAUCGAUUCCCAGCGGGAAAGCUCCAAAGUUUACCUAUCCCCGUUUGAAAAUGGGAGGACAUAUCGAUGGACUUCGUGGUCGGCUUACCCCGCUCCAAAGGCGGCCACGAUGCAAUUUGGGUAAUCGUAGACCGAUUGACGAAGUCGGCUCACUUCUUACCGAUCCAUACUACGUGGUCGGGCGACAAGUUAGCGCAGGUGUAUCUUGACGAGAUAGUGAGGCUGCAUGGGGUGCCGAAAUCGAUCGUGUCGGAUCGUGACCCCCGGUUCACUUCACAUUUCUGGAAGAGCCUGCAGGAAGCCCUUGGCACACGGCUCGACUUUAGCACCGCAUUUUAUCCUCAGACCGAUGGGCAAACGGAGAGGACCAUUCAAACUCUGGAGGAUAUGCUGCGAGCGUGUGUCAUGGAUUAUAAAGGAAAUUGGUGUGAUCACCUAUCGAUGGCCGAGUUCGCCUACAAUAACAGUUAUCAUGCUAGUGUGGAGAUGGCACCGUUUGAGGCUCUCUAUGGACGGAUAUGUCGAUCUCCUAUACAUUGGAGCGAUGUAGGUGAGCGUGCGGAGUUCGGCCCGGAUGUGUUGCGGGAAGCGGAAGAGAAAGUCCGCCUUGCUCGCAAAAGAUUGCUCACGGCGCAGUCGAGACAGCAAAGCUAUGCAGAUAGACGCCGGCGAGAUUUGGAGUUCGCGGUAGGUGACCGCGUAUUCUUGAAGGUUUCGCCGAUGCGAGGCGUGAAACGAUUUGGGGUGCGGGGGAAACUGAGUCCUCGUUAUAUUGGCCCCUAUGAGAUUUUGGAGCGAAUUGGGACGGUGGCGUAUCGACUUGCAUUGCCCCCGAAGCUUGCGGGUGUGCAUGAUGUUUUCCACGUCUCCAACCUUCGCAAGUAUAUUCAUGACCCCGAGCAUGUGAUGCUAUAUGAGCCGCCGGAACUUCAAGAUGAUUUGAGUUAUGAAGAGUUUCCGGUAGAGAUUUUGGCUCGAGAGGUGCGUAAGCUAAGGAAUCGAGAAAUUUCCUAUGUUAAAGUCCGGUGGAGCAAUCACGACGAUCGCGAAGCCACUUGGGAACUCGAGGACCAGAUGAAAGCGAAUCAUCCUCACUUGUUUGAGGAUUGAGGUAAGAGUUUAAGUUCGAUUUACAAGUUAGUUGUUUCGAGGACGAAACUCCUUUUAAGGGAUGGAGAAUGUAAGAUAUCGAAUUCGACGACGUUGGCUAACCUUGGCCAAAUGGGCCAAAGUGGGCGAUUAAACGAUUGGGACAAGUUCCAUUCGGUAUUCCAACAAGUUUGGAAGAGUAAAAACGAGUUCCAAAGGUGUUGGAAUGGUUUUGACAUCGAUCGGCGCGAAGUAGAGCCGAAACGAAGUGAAAACAGCAUUCUGAAGCUUUUGGGUUUGAGGCUGCCAGGCCUUGUACCGGAACAAGGGGGCUUGUACGGGUACAAGCACUGCGCAACCGAGAAACCGAGCCUCGGGUUGAGCUGUCUGCCAGACCUUGUACCGGUACAAGGAACCCUGUACCGGUACAAGGGACCCGAAACUGCAGGUCAAGUUGGAAAAAUUAGAUUUUUGAGGGGGCUUUUGGGAUUUGUUACAAUAGAGGGUUAUAUCCCCUCUUUCUCAGCCUCUUUCCCUCUCACUCUCACAGCCUCUCUCUCUCUCUAGCUCCCUCUCUCUCUCUAACCGGUUGAAGGAGAAGAAGGAGAAAAGGAAAAGAGAAGGAAAAAGAAGGAAAAAGAGAGGAAGAAAAGGAAGGAGAAGAAGGAGAAGAAGGUUUGGGAGCUCUCCUUCACCUCAUUCUUGGCCUAGGGCUUGUUUUGGAGCAAACCCUAGAGGUAAGCCUCAACCCCUUUCAUGGUAACUUGGGAUUUCUAGGGUUUGAAUGGGUUUUGUUGCUUUAAUUGGUUCAAAUGGAACCUAAUGAGUUUAGAGAUGAUGGAUCUAGCUCACAUUGAAGCUAGCACCCAUGGUUUCCUCAUAGAUGCUAAACCUAGGUUUUGAAAAGGGCUUUGUUACUUAAGAAUGGUUCAAAUGGAAACCAUUGGAGCUUAAGAGAAGGUUCAAUCUCAAAUUUGGAGCUUGAAACCAUGAUUUCUCUAUUGUUGCUAAACCUAUGGUUAGAUUUGGGGUUUUUGGAAAUAUUAGGGUUUGAUCUCUUUUGAGGGGUUAGAAACCUAAUUUCUAUGCUUCCGAACGCGUAGGGAAAGACGGUUCGACGAUACGAAAACCGAGCGCGAAGAUAUCGCCAAAUUGAGUGCUCUAGGUUUGAGCUUGGCUCGACGAGUUCAAGCGGCGUAAGAGGACGCGUUUUCUAGCUUUCGGCGCUAUCAAAGGUGGGUGGUGACCAUCCCGAAGCAAUCGGGCUACCUUUUAUGUCUAAGUUUCUAAAAUUGAUCUAAGCAUAUUGUGCAUGUUCAUAUAGGGUUAGAGAUAGUUGAUAAUUGCUAUAUUUGCAUGCUAGUAGAAAUGUUGCUUGAUUGGUGGUUCAUAAUCUAGUAUGCUUGACAAAUGAUAUGAUGAAAAGUUUAACCCUAUAUGAGACGAUUAAUGUUACUGUUGCUAAAGAACUAGUAUGAUGAAACUAGUAUUGAUAAUGAGUCUAAAUGACGAGUGGCAUCUAAUUUAGAAAAUAAUGACAAGUGGCAUCUAGUGAUAGAAAACUAUGAUGAGUGGCAAUUCAUAUUUGUCAACCUAUGAUAUGAAAACCUUAGUGUAGUGAAACACUAUGUGAUUGGGUACAAGAACAUUGAUUCCAAGAUGAGAUUGCCCUUUUGAGGGUAGGUUACUGUUGUUCGUGAGUUGAUCAUGCUCACAUAAGCCUGUCUGCGCUUGGUUUGGGGUCGCUCCCCACAAGCUGUGCACUUCGGAGGUUGGUCACUCGAGGGACAGUCAGUGUGCUGUCUGGGCGGUCUGUGUGCUGCCCGCAGGCGGUCUCGGGAUAGUUGAGAGAGACUACUCCCCUGUGAGACUUACACGUGAGAUAUGUUGUGAACCCCGUGUUCACAUGAGAUUUGGUCUCCUAUUGAGUCAUACUCAUUAUUUGUUGUUCAUAAUAGCUCGUUGCCUAUAGUAGUCACCUACGUAGCUGGUUGUAGAUGUUUAUAGUAAUUUACUACUCAGCUUUAUUUAUUGCUCAUACAUCAUGUUUUCAGAUUGAGGCACAUUUAGCUAUUUAGUUUCCGUACCUGCUUCGUUACUGCUUUGAUAUAUUGCAUAUAUCUAUCUGUGCCUGCUUAAGACCUAGUGGGUAGAUCGGCGGAGUCGGCGGCCGAACCCACUGGGAACUAUUCGUAGUUCUCACCCCCGUGUGGUUUUGGGGGUAUAGGUACACAGGACAGCGGGCCUUCAUCGACGGAUCGCGGUAAGGGCAUAGCGCCCUAGCUUUUGGUAGAUAGCCUACUUUACCUACUUGCAUUAGCUCUACCCUGUACCUAUGCUUUUACAUUUUGAGAGUAGAUGUUGUAUAGGGUGAGGUUUUGGAGCGCAUAUGAUGUAUUUUCAUUUUGGGAAAGAAUGCAAGUUGUAUUAAAUGAUUAAAGUUUAAAUGAUAUCGAAAGAGGUUAAAUAUUCAAUCAUGUCUUAAAUAGUUAAGUUUCUCUCUUUUGUAUACUUGUAUGCUUCUUACUUGUAUCGCUUGCUCUUAUUGGUUGUAGCACUGUUUGUGCUUUCGUUUCGUGUUGAUUGUGUAUGUAUGCAAGUUAUUUUCCUGGGGACUUGUUGUACACAAUCUGUUGCUUAGCCUUGGGCGGACAGGGGAAACUCCGUCCGUUCGGCGGUCGCGCCCGCCGCCCUCGAACCGGACCAAAUUGGUACCGUUUUCGAGUGGUGCGGUCUGGGGCGUGACAGGUUAGCAAUUAGCUAGAACCUCCUCGGUGUCAUUAUAGACGGACCCUUUGAUAUCUUCAUUUUAGUUUAGCUUGACCGAUGUACAACUAUAUUUGGUUUAGAGAUCUCCUGGUUGACAAGAUGUACCUUCUAUUCACACUUAUUGUAUAUCUUGCGAUUAUUUUUG